GCCGGUGUAGCUCAGGUAGUUAGAGCAUCUCACUCAUAAAGAGAAGGUCACAAGUGCAAGUCUUGUCACCGGCA
This 74-nucleotide transfer RNA is filed under the name Minisyncoccota bacterium. RNAcentral's name for it is "tRNA-Met". It matches the Rfam family "tRNA". From Rfam's summary of the family: Transfer RNA (tRNA) molecules are approximately 80 nucleotides in length. The record is from RNAcentral. Lineage: Bacteria; Bacillati; Minisyncoccota.